Pelobates cultripes (western spadefoot toad) is the source of this 387-nucleotide non-coding RNA. Lineage: Eukaryota; Metazoa; Chordata; Amphibia; Anura; Pelobatidae. The record is from the annotation of a GenBank genome assembly.
UUUGUUUUAAGUAAAUCUUAAAUAAAGCACCUUUCCCCCCCCUCCCCCUUUUCUUUAACCAUGUUUUUUCUUGUGCUUUACAGGUACAAUGAUGACUUUGAUUGGGUGGAAGGGAAGUGCAGCUGCUGUCAGCCAGUACAAUCCUCUGUGCACGAGAAAAAAAUAGAAUUAAAAUGUUCUGAUUCUACAUCUAAAACAAUAAGCAUAAAGUUCUUCACAGCAUGUAUCUGCAACUACCAACCCUGUGUAAAUCCCAGCGCAGCACCCAGCAGCAAAUGAGACGUUCAUCCUUCCUUAACAUGACAAAAUAGAAUGGCUGGGGUCUUUCUUACCAAAAAAAAUAAAAAAAAUAAAAACAACAACAAAAAAGGUGUUAAGCAUUUAUGG